GCGCUGGUAGCUCAGAUGGAUAGAGCUCUUGACUACGAAUCAAGAGGUCGGGGGUUCGACUCCUCCCCAGCGCGCCA
RNAcentral lists this transfer RNA (77 nucleotides) under Boseongicola sp. SB0673_bin_14. RNAcentral's name for it is "tRNA-Arg". It matches the Rfam family "tRNA". Rfam says of the family: Transfer RNA (tRNA) molecules are approximately 80 nucleotides in length. Their secondary structure includes four short double-helical elements and three loops (D, anti-codon, and T loops). Further hydrogen bonds mediate the characteristic L-shaped molecular structure. tRNAs have two regions of fundamental functional importance: the anti-codon, which is responsible for specific mRNA codon recognition, and the 3' end, to which the tRNAs corresponding amino acid is attached (by aminoacyl-tRNA synthetases). tRNAs cope with the degeneracy of the genetic code in two manners: having more than one tRNA (with a specific anti-codon) for a particular amino acid; and 'wobble' base-pairing, i.e. permitting non-standard base-pairing at the 3rd anti-codon position. Lineage: Bacteria; Pseudomonadati; Pseudomonadota; Alphaproteobacteria; Rhodobacterales; Paracoccaceae. The record is from RNAcentral.